AAACCAGCACCUCAAGUGGUCAGGAGGAUUAUUGGGCCUAAAGCAUCCGUAGCCUGCUCUGUAAGUUUCCGGUUAAAUCCAUUAGCUUAACUGAUGGGCCGCCGAAAAUACUGUAGAACUAGGGAGUGGGAGAGGUAGACGGUAUUCGGUAGGAAGGGGUAAAAUCCUUUGAUCUAUUGAGGACCACCUGUGGCGAAGGCGGUCUACCAGAACACGUUCGACGGUGAGGGAUGAAAGCUGGGGGAGCAAACCGGAUUAGAAACCCCAGUAGUCC
This 274-nucleotide ribosomal RNA is filed under the name uncultured bacterium. RNAcentral's name for it is "partial 16S ribosomal RNA". It matches the Rfam family "Archaeal small subunit ribosomal RNA", at positions 473 to 747 of the family's 1478-position model. The record is from RNAcentral.